Molecule: ribosomal RNA, 259 nt
Filed under: uncultured bacterium
Lineage: Bacteria
Description: partial 16S ribosomal RNA
Rfam family: Bacterial small subunit ribosomal RNA
Source: RNAcentral
GAUGAACGCUAGCGGCAGGCUUAAUACAUGCAAGACGAACGGUAAGAUUUGUAGCAAUACGAAUCCUAGAGUGUCGUAAGGGUGCGUAACACGUAUGCAAUCUGCCCUGUACAGGAGUAUAGCUCGGGGAAACUCGAAUUAACCCUCCAUAAGAUCUUAGGGUGGCAUCACCCAGAGAUUAAAACUACGGCGGUACAGGAUGAGCAUGCGACUGAUAGCUAGUUGGCGGGGUAACGGCCCACCAAGGCAAUGAUCAGUA